This 339-nucleotide unclassified non-coding RNA is filed under the name soil metagenome. RNAcentral's name for it is "partial contains 5.8S ribosomal RNA, internal transcribed spacer 2, and large subunit ribosomal RNA". The stretch from base 1 to 120 matches the Rfam family "5.8S ribosomal RNA", at positions 35 to 154 of the family's 154-position model. The record is from RNAcentral.
GAUGAAGAACGUAGUGAAAUGCGAUAAGUAGUGUGAAUUGCAGAAUUCAGUGAAUCAUCGAAUCUUUGAACGCACAUUGCGCCCUUUGGUAUUCCUUAGGGCAUGCCUGUUCGAGCGUCAUUUAAACCUUCAAGCUCAGCUUGGUGUUGGGUGACUGUCCGCCGCCUCCGGGCGGUCGGACUCGCCUCAAAUCGAUUGGCGGCCGGUACUUUGGCUUCGAGCGCAGCAGAAACGCGAACUCGAGGCCGUCGUCCUGGCUCCCAGAAGCUAUCUUCACAAUUUUGACCUCGGAUCAGGUAGGGAUACCCGCUGAACUUAAGCAUAUCAAUAAGCGGAGGA